RNAcentral lists this ribosomal RNA (795 nucleotides) under uncultured Pelagibacteraceae bacterium. Its description in RNAcentral is "bacterial SSU rRNA". It matches the Rfam family "Bacterial small subunit ribosomal RNA", at positions 44 to 886 of the family's 1533-position model. The record is from RNAcentral. Lineage: Bacteria; Pseudomonadati; Pseudomonadota; Alphaproteobacteria; Candidatus Pelagibacterales; Candidatus Pelagibacteraceae.
ACGCCUAAUACAUGCAAGUCGAACGAAGUAGCAAUACUUAGUGGCAGACGGGUGAGUAACAUGUGGGUAUCUUCCCUUUGGUGAGGAAUAACACGAGGAAACUUGUGCUAAUACCUCAUAAGUCUUUACGGAGAAAGCUUUAUGCGCCAAUGGAUGAGCCUGCACUUGAUUAGUUUGUUGGUGGGGUAAUGGCCUACCAAGACUUUGAUCAAUAGCUGAUUUGAGAGGAUGAUCAGCCACAUUGGGACUGAGACACGGCCCAAACUCCUACGGGAGGCAGCAGUAGGGAAUCUUGCACAAUGGGGGAAACCCUGAUGCAGCGAUGCCGCGUGAGUGAAGAAGGCCUUUGGGUUGUAAAGCUCUUUCGUCGGGGAAGAAAAUGACUGUACCCGAAUAAGAAGGUCCGGCUAACUUCGUGCCAGCAGCCGCGGUAAUACGAAGGGACCUAGCGUAGUUCGGAAUUACUGGGCUUAAAGAGUUCGUAGGUGGUUAAAAAAGUUGGUGGUGAAAUCCCAGAGCUUAACUCUGGAACUGCCAUCAAAACUUUUUAGCUAGAGUAUGAUAGAGGAAAGCAGAAUUUCUAGUGUAGAGGUGAAAUUCGUAGAUAUUAGAAAGAAUACCAAUUGCGAAGGCAGCUUUCUGGAUCAUUACUGACACUGAGGAACGAAAGCAUGGGUAGCGAAGAGGAUUAGAUACCCUCGUAGUCCAUGCCGUAAACGAUGUGUGUUCGACGUUGGAAAUUUAUUUUUCAGUGUCUCAGCGAAAGCAAUAAACACACCGCCUGGGGAGUACGAC